CUACGGGUUGCUGCAGUGAGGAAUAUUGCACAGUGGGGGGAACCCUGAUGCAGCAACGCCGCGUGGAGGAUGACGCAUUUCGGUGUGUAAACUCCUUUUAUCAGAGAAGAACAUGACGGUAUCUGAUGAAUAAGCUCCGGCUAACUCCGUGCCAGCAGCCGCGGUAAUACGGAGGGAGCAAGCGUUAUUCGGAAUCACUGGGCGUAAAGGACGCGUAGGCGGGACAGUAAGUCAGGUGUGAAAUCCAAUGGCUCAACCAUUGAACUGCACUUGAAACUGCUGACCUAGAGUACUGAAGGGGCAGAUGGAAUUAGUGGUGUAGGGGUAAAAUCCGUAGAUAUCACUAGGAAUACCGAAAGCGAAGGCGAUCUGCUGGGAAGUUACUGACGCUGAGGCGUGAAAGCGUGGGGAGCAAACAGGAUUAGAUACCCUAGUAGUC
This 439-nucleotide ribosomal RNA is filed under the name uncultured bacterium. RNAcentral's name for it is "partial 16S ribosomal RNA". It matches the Rfam family "Bacterial small subunit ribosomal RNA", at positions 339 to 795 of the family's 1533-position model. The record is from RNAcentral.